RNAcentral lists this non-coding RNA (29 nucleotides) under Homo sapiens (human). Lineage: Eukaryota; Metazoa; Chordata; Mammalia; Primates; Hominidae. The record is from RNAcentral.
UCGAACUCUGGGGUGCAGUUGUGGUGAAU